AUGCAUGGUCAAGGGGCAGGAAGCAGGUUAACACGACUAAAUUCAUUGCCGCGGGAGCUGCCAAGGGCGGCGGAUCAUCGUCUUCGGCGCCAGGGGCCAGCGACGGUCACGCACGACGACGUGUCUGCGAUGGCGGAUGGCGGUCAAGCCAGCGGGAUGGGAGACGACGAGCAGCAGAAACAGUCUUGCUCCGUCGGGCAUCGGCGCGCACCGGCCAUAGGUGACCAACACCUGCUCGAGGGAGGACGCAGCCCCGCCCCCAAGCACUUCAUUCGGAAGAAACGGCAACCAUGGCCGAUCCCAAAGCUCGCCAGAGCAACAUCGUCCUCCAGAGGUUCCUCUCGUUCGUCUAUGGCCCAUGGCUCCUCGGCUUCGGAUUGGGUAAGGGAUGUCAGGGCGGAGGACGCUUGUCAACCCAAGCGCAUGCACGGUGUCGAGAUCUUCAGGACCAGGGACGCGAGCCACGCCCGCGCUCAGCCGCCUUGGAGCCUCGUGCGGCGCAUCAUCGUUAUCAGCUGA
Molecule: ribosomal RNA, 519 nt
Filed under: Triticum aestivum (bread wheat)
Lineage: Eukaryota; Viridiplantae; Streptophyta; Magnoliopsida; Poales; Poaceae
Description: partial small subunit ribosomal RNA
Source: RNAcentral